This 610-nucleotide ribosomal RNA is filed under the name Candidatus Arthromitus sp. SFB-4. Its description in RNAcentral is "bacterial SSU rRNA". It matches the Rfam family "Bacterial small subunit ribosomal RNA", at positions 932 to 1533 of the family's 1533-position model. The record is from RNAcentral. Lineage: Bacteria; Bacillati; Bacillota; Clostridia; Eubacteriales; Clostridiaceae.
GCGGAGCAUGUGGUUUAAUUCGAAGCAACGCGAAGAACCUUACCUAAACUUGACAUACCUUGAAUUACCUUGUAAUGAGGGAAGCUCGCAAGAGCAAGGAUACAGGUGGUGCAUGGUUGUCGUCAGCUCGUGUCGUGAGAUGUUGGGUUAAGUCCCGCAACGAGCGCAACCCUUGUUGUUAAUUGCUAACAGGUUAAGCUGAGCACUUUAGCGAGACAGCCUAGGUUAACUAGGAGGAAGGUGGGGAUGACGUCAAAUCAUCAUGCCCCUUACGUUUAGGGCUACACACGUGCUACAAUGGUGAGAACAGAGAGAAGCAAGCUAGUGAUAGUGAGCAAAACUUAUAAAACUCAUCUCAGUUCGGAUUGCAGGCUGAAACUCGCCUGUAUGAAGAUGGAGUUGCUAGUAAUCGCGAAUCAGAAUGUCGCGGUGAAUACGUUCCCGGGUCUUGUACACACCGCCCGUCACACCAUGAGAGUUGGCAACACCCGAAACCUGUGGGCUAACCAUAUAGGAGGCAGCAGUCUAAGGUGGGGUCAGUGAUUGGGGUGAAGUCGUAACAAGGUAGCCGUAGGAGAACCUGCGGCUGGAUCACCUCCUUUCUAAGGAA